This 1529-nucleotide unclassified non-coding RNA is filed under the name Diuraphis noxia (Russian wheat aphid). RNAcentral describes it as "cytoplasmic tRNA 2-thiolation protein 2, transcript variant X1". Lineage: Eukaryota; Metazoa; Arthropoda; Insecta; Hemiptera; Aphididae. The record is from RNAcentral.
UCUAGUUUCUAAGGAGUAAGGACCACUUUUGAUUGUUGUCGACUUGUUGUGUUAAUUGAAACUGAAGUAUUUGUCACUUUGUUAGUUGUUACUUUGUUACUNUACACAGUUGACACUUGAGUCUGGAAUUCUAGAUUCUGUAAUGAAAGAACUCGGUGGUCAAUCCUCAAAUUUUAAUUUAUAAAGCACAUCAUAUGUGUUGAGUAUAAAAAUUUGUUAAUAUCUAUAGUCAAUACCCUGUUCAUAAUUUUGAGGAUUUUACGUGACAAUGUGCAGNGUUGACGAAGAAGGUGCUGAAGUCUUUGAAGUACUCAAACUCAUUGAACCAUUAGAAUUAAAAUGCCGUAAAUGUCUAUUCGAAGAUGGAAAUGUUGUUUUACAAAAGAAAUUUGUAUACUGCAAGACUUGUUUUGUGUCUAUGGUUACUCAUAAGUUCCGCGCUACCAUUGGCAAAUCAAAAUUAGUCAAUAGAGGUGAACGUGUUCUGGUAUGUGUAAGUGGAUCCCAAUCUUCAGUAACUUUACUACAUAUGAUAUGGACUGGACUACAGCAAUCUACUUACAAGAGAUUNACAUUUGAUCCUGUAGUGUUAUAUAUUGAUGAGAGUGUUUUAUAUGAUUAUCCCCAGGAUCAAGUGAAUAAAAUUCAAGAACUUUUUGAAAAAUAUGGUUUGACUUACCACAUAGUAAAGUUUGCUGCAGCUGUUUAUUCGGAUAAUUGUUUGAAUGAAGACACUAAUAUUGACCAAUAUAAUGAUAAACUAAAAAAUAUUUUUAGCAAUCUAUCUGACCUUACAUUAAAAGAAGAUAUGUUAAUGAAACUUCGUAAACGUGCAAUUACAAAAUUGGCUGAAUUGUUAAAAUGUACCCGGAUAAUGACAGCAGAAAAUGAACAUAAAUUGUCUAUUAGAUUGCUUUCAAAUGUAGCUCUAGGUCGUGGAUCUCAAAUAUCUUUGGACAUAGGGCUUUCAGUUAAUAAUAAAAAUAAUGACAAAACAUCUUUAGUUACAAUACGACCAAUAAGGAAUCUGUCUGCUAAAGAAAUUGCAUAUUAUGCUUUGUUCAAUAAGUUGGAAGAUUUUAUGCACUCAAAUUUCUUAACAGCUACUAGUGAAGAUGAAUCAAUUCAAAAAACUACAGAACGGUUUGUGAACGAUUUGCAAGUCGAUUUUCCGUCUACCGUGUCCACAAUAUUUAGAACUGGAGAAAAAAUAUCUGAAAAAACAUCAGCUAUAGCUUAUUGUUUAUUAUGUCAAGUAUGUAAUUUAUUCUCAGUGUUGGCUCUUUUUUUUUGUACAAAUAUCUCCAGUUACACUAAAAAGCAUUUUAACAUUAACACUUGAAAGAGGUGUUCACCAAAAUUUGUUUCAUCCUAGAUAAUCUGUUUAAAACGACUAUGUAAACUAUAUUAUAAUAACGCUCAACUUCACCAUUGGGUUGAUCAAUAAUGGCAUUAUGGAUGUCAACAUGUCACCUUCUUCAGCUAUGGAAGCAACAAAGUAUUCAAAAUAUGUUUCGCUAAUGGGAGUU